Molecule: ribosomal RNA, 208 nt
Filed under: uncultured bacterium
Lineage: Bacteria
Description: partial 16S ribosomal RNA
Rfam family: Bacterial small subunit ribosomal RNA
Source: RNAcentral
GGAUUGUAGUCUGCAACCCGACUACAUGAAGCCGGAAUCGCUAGUAAUCGCGGAUCAGAAUGCCGCGGUGAAUACGUUCCCGGGUCUUGUACACACCGCCCGUCACACCAUGGGAGUCGGAAAUGCCCGAAGCCGGUGACCCAACCCGAAAGGGAGGGAGCCGUCGAAGGCAGGUCGGAUGACUGGGGUGAAGUCGUAACAAGGUACC